This 206-nucleotide ribosomal RNA is filed under the name uncultured bacterium. RNAcentral's name for it is "partial 16S ribosomal RNA". It matches the Rfam family "Bacterial small subunit ribosomal RNA", at positions 568 to 774 of the family's 1533-position model. The record is from RNAcentral.
UGCGUAGGUGGUGAGGUAAGUCGGAUGUGAAAUCUCCGAGCUCAACUCGGAAAAUGCAUUGGAAACUACCUUGCUCGAGGGUUGGAGGGGGGACUGGAAUGCUUGGUGUAGCAGUGAAAUGCGUAGAUAUCAAGCGGAACACCAGUGGCGAAGGCGAGUCCCUGGACAACUCCUGACACUGAGGCACGAAAGCUAGGGAGCAAACA